UGGGGAAUAUUGCGCAAUGGGCGAAAGCCUGACGCAGCGACGCCGCGUGAGGGAUGAAGGUUUUCGGAUCGUAAACCUCUGUCAGAAGGGAAGAAACUACGUUGUGCUAAUCAGCAGCGUACUGACGGUACCUUCAAAGGAAGCACCGGCUAACUCCGUGCCAGCAGCCGCGGUAAUACGGAGGGUGCAAGCGUUAAUCGGAAUUACUGGGCGUAAAGCGCACGUAGGCUGUAGUGUAAGUCAGGGGUGAAAUCCCACGGCUCAACCGUGGAACUGCCUUUGAUACUGCACAACUUGAAUACGGGAGAGGGUGGCAGAAUUCCAGGUGUAGGAGUGAAAUCCAUAGAUAUCUGGAGGAACAUCAGUGGCGAAGGCGGCCACCUGGACCGGUAUUGACGCUGAGGUGCGAAAGCGUGGGGAGCAAACAG
RNAcentral lists this ribosomal RNA (428 nucleotides) under uncultured bacterium. Its description in RNAcentral is "bacterial SSU rRNA". It matches the Rfam family "Bacterial small subunit ribosomal RNA", at positions 355 to 775 of the family's 1533-position model. The record is from RNAcentral.